UUGCUCGCGUUUUCACGUUUUUCUUGCUGGCUGUGCAUGGAUUUUGAGAGUUUUUCUGGUAUUGCAUGGAAGCGUGUUUGUGGCGCGAUCUGGACCGCUAGAUCGCGUGUCCAGAUUCCAUCAGGUCCGUCCGCUUUCUUUUUGUCUUUUUGUGCAUUAAGUGGGAGCUGACCGGUCCAAAUUAGGUCACAUGCAUUUUUUAAUGUCACAUUUUUAUUGCUGUCACACAAUUAAAUCACGUUGGAUCUGGGCCUCACGCGCACUGCUACCAGCACCCCCCAGCUUGGCCCAUUUCCAUUAUUUCAUUUCAUUUUUUAUUCAUUUUUUUUAUUCUGUUUUGAUUUAGUUAAUAAAAAUAUUUUAUUUAUU
This 369-nucleotide long non-coding RNA is filed under the name Lathyrus oleraceus (garden pea). RNAcentral's name for it is "Pisum sativum (pea) long non-coding RNA (PSAT_LNC022545)". Lineage: Eukaryota; Viridiplantae; Streptophyta; Magnoliopsida; Fabales; Fabaceae. The record is from RNAcentral.